CAAGUCAAGGGGGCCCAGCAAUGGGCAACCGGCGAACGGGUGCGUAACACGUGAGCAACCUACCGAACUGUGGGGGAUAGCCGGCCUAACGGCCGAGUAAUACCGCAUACGCUUUCUAAAAGGCAUUUUUUGGAAAGGAAACCUACGGGACAGAUCGAGGGGCUCGCGGCCUAUCAGCUAGUUGGCGAGGUAAUGGCUCACCAAGGCUACGACGGGUAGCUGGUCUGAGAGGAUGGCCAGCCACAUUGGGACUGAGAUACGGCCCAGACUCCUACGGGAGGCAGCAGUGGGGAAUCUUGCGCAAUGGCCUAACGGCUGACGCAGCGACGCCGCGUGUGGGAUGAAGCUCCUCGGAGUGUAAACCACUGUUGCCCGGGACGAAUAGCUCGAUUAGUCGAGCCUGACGGUACCGGGUGAGGAAGCACCGGCUAACUCCGUGCCAGCAGCCGCGGUAAUACGGGGGGUGCGAGCGUUGUCCGGAAUCACUGGGCGUAAAGGGCGCGUAGGUGGUUUGAUAAGGGUGUGGUGAAAGCCCGGGGCUCAACCCCGGGUCUGCCGUGCCGACUGUGAAACUCGAGGGCUGUAGAGGCAGACGGAAUUCCGGGUGUAGCGGUGGAAUGCGUAGAGAUCCGGAGGAAGACCGGUGGCGAAGGCGGUCUGCUGGGCAGUUUCUGACACUGAUGCGCGACAGCGUGGGGAGCAAACAGGAUUAGAUACCCUGGUAGUCCACGCCUUAAACUAUGGGUACUAGGUGCCUGGGGGAGCGACCC
RNAcentral lists this ribosomal RNA (770 nucleotides) under uncultured Gemmatimonadota bacterium. Its description in RNAcentral is "bacterial SSU rRNA". It matches the Rfam family "Bacterial small subunit ribosomal RNA", at positions 58 to 838 of the family's 1533-position model. Lineage: Bacteria; Pseudomonadati; Gemmatimonadota. The record is from RNAcentral.